CUGUGUGUUGUUGGGUAGGGGAGCGUUCUGUAAGCCUGUGAAGGUGGCCUGUGAGGGUUGCUGGAGGUAUCAGAAGUGCGAAUGCUGACAUAAGUAACGAUAAAGCGGGUGAAAAGCCCGCUCGCCGGAAGACCAAGGGUUCCUGUCCAACGUUAAUCGGGGCAGGGUGAGUCGACCCCUAAGGCGAGGCCGAAAGGCGUAGUCGAUGGGAAACAGGUUAAUAUUCCUGUACUUGGUGUUACUGCGAAGGGGGGACGGAGAAGGCUAUGUUGGCCGGGCGACGGUUGUCCCGGUUUAAGCGUGUAGGCUGGUUUUCCAGGCAAAUCCGGAAAAUCAAGGCUGAGGCGUGACGACGAGGCACUACGGUGCUGAAGCAACAAAUGCCCUGCUUCCAGGAAAAGCCUCUAAGCAUCAGGUAACAUCAAAUCGUACCCCAAACCGACACAGGUGGUCAGGUAGAGAAUACCAAGGCGCUUGAGAGAACUCGGGUGAAGGAACUAGGCAAAAUGGUGCCGUAACUUCGGGAGAAGGCACGCUGACACGUAGGUGAAGUGAUUUACUCAUGGAGCUGAAGUCAGUCGAAGAUACCAGCUGGCUGCAACUGUUUAUUAAAAACACAGCACUGUGCAAACACGAAAGUGGACGUAUACGGUGUGACGCCUGCCCGGUGCCGGAAGGUUAAUUGAUGGGGUCAGCGCAAGCGAAGCUCCUGAUCGAAGCCCCGGUAAACGGCGGCCGUAACUAUAACGGUCCUAAGGUAGCGAAAUUCCUUGUCGGGUAAGUUCCGACCUGCACGAAUGGCGUAAUGAUGGCCAGGCUGUCUCCACCCGAGACUCAGUGAAAUUGAACUCGCUGUGAAGAUGCAGUGUACCCGCGGCAAGACGGAAAGACCCCGUGAACCUUUACUAUAGCUUGACACUGAACAUUGAGCCUUGAUGUGUAGGAUAGGUGGGAGGCUUUGAAGUGUGGACGCCAGUCUGCAUGGAGCCGACCUUGAAAUACCACCCUUUAAUGUUUGAUGUUCUAACGUGGACCCGUAAUCCGGGUUGCGGACAGUGUCUGGUGGGUAGUUUGACUGGGGCGGUCUCCUCCUAAAGAGUAACGGAGGAGCACGAAGGUUGGCUAAUCCUGGUCGGACAUCAGGAGGUUAGUGCAAUGGCAUAAGCCAGCUUGACUGCGAGCGUGACGGCGCGAGCAGGUGCGAAAGCAGGUCAUAGUGAUCCGGUGGUUCUGAAUGGAAGGGCCAUCGCUCAACGGAUAAAAGGUACUCCGGGGAUAACAGGCUGAUACCGCCCAAGAGUUCAUAUCGACGGCGGUGUUUGGCACCUCGAUGUCGGCUCAUCACAUCCUGGGGCUGAAGUAGGUCCCAAGGGUAUGGCUGUUCGCCAUUUAAAGUGGUACGCGAGCUGGGUUUAGAACGUCGUGAGACAGUUCGGUCCCUAUCUGCCGUGGGCGCUGGAGAACUGAGGGGGGCUGCUCCUAGUACGAGAGGACCGGAGUGGACGCAUCACUGGUGUUCGGGUUGUCAUGCCAAUGGCACUGCCCGGUAGCUAAAUGCGGAAGAGAUAAGUGCUGAAAGCAUCUAAGCACGAAACUUGCCCCGAGAUGAGUUCUCCCUGAGACUUUAAGUCUCCUGAAGGAACGUUGAAGACGACGACGUUGAUAGGCCGGGUGUGUAAGCGCAGCGAUGCGUUGAGCUAACCGGUACUAAUGAACCGUGAGGCUUAACCUUACAACGCCGAAGCUGUU
Molecule: ribosomal RNA, 1749 nt
Filed under: Salmonella enterica
Lineage: Bacteria; Pseudomonadati; Pseudomonadota; Gammaproteobacteria; Enterobacterales; Enterobacteriaceae
Description: partial 23S ribosomal RNA
Rfam family: Bacterial large subunit ribosomal RNA
Source: RNAcentral